GACGAACGCUGGCGGCGUGCCUAAUACAUGCAAGUGGGACGCAAGGGAACACACUGUGCUUGCACACCGUGUUUUCUUGAGUCGCGAACGGGUGAGUAACGCGUAGGUAACCUGCCUAUUAGCGGGGGAUAACUAUUGGAAACGAUAGCUAAUACCGCAUAAUAUUAAUUAUUGCAUGAUAAUUGAUUGAAAGAUGCAAGCGCAUCACUAGUAGAUGGACCUGCGUUGUAUUAGCUAGUUGGUAAGGUAAGAGCUUACCAAGGCGACGAUACAUAGCCGACCUGAGAGGGUGAUCGGCCACACUGGGACUGAGACACGGCCCAGACUCCUACGGGAGGCAGCAGUAGGGAAUCUUCGGCAAUGGACGAAAGUCUGACCGAGCAACGCCGCGUGAGUGAAGAAGGUUUUCGGAUCGUAAAGCUCUGUUGUAAGUCAAGAACGUGUGUGAGAGUGGAAAGUCACACAGGACG
This 470-nucleotide ribosomal RNA is filed under the name Streptococcus mutans. Its description in RNAcentral is "bacterial SSU rRNA". It matches the Rfam family "Bacterial small subunit ribosomal RNA", at positions 28 to 474 of the family's 1533-position model. Lineage: Bacteria; Bacillati; Bacillota; Bacilli; Lactobacillales; Streptococcaceae. The record is from RNAcentral.